CGGUUAAGUCCGCUAACGAGCGCAACCCUCGCUGUGUGUUAUACGUGGUCACACGGGACUGCCGGUUUAAGCCGGAGGAAGGUGGGGAUGACGUCAAGUCAGCAUGGCCUUUAUAUCCUGGGCUACACACACGCUACAAUGGUCGGUACAAUUGGUUGCCAAGCCGCGAGGCGGGAGCCAAUCCAAUAAAGCCGGCCUCAGUUCAGAUUGAGGUCUGCAACUCGGCCUCAUGAAGCUGGAAUCGCUAGUAAUCGCGUAACAGCAUGACGCGGUGAAUACGUUCCCGGGCCUU
RNAcentral lists this ribosomal RNA (292 nucleotides) under uncultured Anaerolineaceae bacterium. RNAcentral's name for it is "partial 16S ribosomal RNA". It matches the Rfam family "Bacterial small subunit ribosomal RNA", at positions 1077 to 1382 of the family's 1533-position model. The record is from RNAcentral. Lineage: Bacteria; Bacillati; Chloroflexota; Anaerolineae; Anaerolineales; Anaerolineaceae.